Molecule: RNA transcript, 1314 nt
Organism: Cucurbita moschata (crookneck pumpkin)
Lineage: Eukaryota; Viridiplantae; Streptophyta; Magnoliopsida; Cucurbitales; Cucurbitaceae
Gene name: DNA repair protein XRCC2 homolog
Exons: 11
Source: RefSeq, a predicted model, not a curated record
CAUAAAUUUAAUACUCUUUCAAUCUUCAACGUAAAAACUGUCGCAGGGUUCCGGCCAAAUAAGCGCGUUGCAAUGGCGCUCCGCCAGUGGAUCGACGGCGAUGAGACCGCCGCGGAGAUGCUUACUAGAGUCCACAAAGAGCGAACCUCCUUGCUUGUUCCGCCUCUCCACAGAGUUCCUCUCCACGUCGGCAAUGUGGUCGAGCUUGUUGGACCCUCUGGUUCCGCCAAGACGCAGAUCUUAAUCCAGGCUGCAGUUAAUUGCAUUCUUCCCAAGGAGUGGAAUGGGAUCCGCUAUGGAGGCUUGGAGUGUUCGGUGGUGUUCAUUGACUUGGAUUGUCGUCUUGACAUCUCAAGGCUUUCCCAAGUUUUGAAGCUUCGAAUUUUGGAAGGAAAUGGCAGCGGAGAUUGGGGAAAUUUUGAUGCACUAUAUACUACAUGCCUGAGAAGAUUCUUUUACAUCCGUUGCUAUGACAGUUUUGAAUUUCUUGCCACUCUCAAGACCAUGCACCAUAAACUUCAAAAAGAAAGAGAUGACCUUGGAAUUCGGUUGCAUCUACUCAUGAUCGACAGUAUUGGAGCUUAUCAUUGGGUUGAUCGUGUCUCUUCAUCCUUGCCUUUGUGGGGUUACAACAGGAAAGGCUUUUCUCUUGCAAAUAUGUUAGAAGCGGCCGUAGAAGAAGUUAAAAAGCUUUUGCUGGUGCAUCCGAGUAUUGUUAUUGCUUCAAAAGCUACCAUUUUUGGGGAUAGAUCUUCUGACAUAGUGAGACGUGAAAAAUCUUUAUCAGAGACGGAAUCAAGACAUGGGAAAACCGAUGGUGGACAAGUUUUGUACCGUGAGUAUAUGCCUUCUGCAUGGCAGUCUUUUGUAACGCACAGAGUUUUUGUUCGAGGCUCAGACGAAUAUCUUACAGUGAGCAGUUGUGAGCAUCAGUCAAUAUAUUUUUCUGAAUGGCUGCUACCAUCCCUGGGUGUCCUCGAUAAAUUUAUUGUCAAAAAUGCUGGCGUCUUUAUGGUACCAUGAACUGCAUUUGUUUGAUAUGCCACUGACCAGUUCUUGGGCGUUCUUAUGAUUCCAGGAUUCAUGGUUUGGGGUUUAGCGUCCAACUGAGGACCUAAUCGAAUAAGGGAAAGGUGGUUUGGUUCGUGGUUGGUUGGAUUGAGCUUCUCUUUCUUUCAUUUUCUUCGUUUUCAGUGUUUGAAUAAAUAGGUAAAGGAGAAUGAAUCUUUCGUCUUUUUCUUUUUCUUUUACCGAGUGAAAAAAUAAAGAGGAAAAAGAACCAAACAGUUUAGAGCGGUAGGAGAGAAGCAGUGA